RNAcentral lists this long non-coding RNA (783 nucleotides) under Apteryx rowi (Okarito brown kiwi). RNAcentral's name for it is "lncRNA (ENSARWG00000016320.1)". The record is from RNAcentral. Lineage: Eukaryota; Metazoa; Chordata; Aves; Apterygiformes; Apterygidae.
CAUACACCAGAGUUUUCUCUUGCUCUUUUUUCUGUGUAAGCUAAAACUUCACUUUCUCUUUUCAGGAUUCUCACCAUGGGACCAUUUUGUGUUGUAAUUUGGCAGAGGUUCAUUCUGAGUAGGAGGUUUGGACUUGUUUGCAGGAUAACUGAGAUUGACUUUACUGCCCACAAAACAGAGACAGCAGAAAUGGCUAUCCUCAGCCUCUUCAUGACUUAGCUGAAUAUCCAAUGGUUUCUGUUUGUGCUGUUCAAGAACCUCCCACUCUCAGAGCCCUCGGAGGUUUGCCGCCAGCCUUACUCAGAGGACAUUCCAGACCUGUCACUGCGCAGCUGCUCCUGGCAGCCAGCCCUCCACGCAAGGGCUUUGCCAAGGCACUGCUUCUCUGCACCCCCAAACACUCUGCUGAAACAAUGGUUAAUAGUUUUGCACUUGCACAACUGCUAGAUUUCCUUUUGCCUUAAAAAGGAUUUGUUUACUUCAGUUAUAAAAUGGUGUUGUGUUUUUGGCAUCGCUGGCUUUACUCUUGAAGCCUACUGUAGAACCUACCAUUGAUAUACCAUAUUCUACAUGUAGACUGGUGUACAGCAUAAGUUUAAAAUUCAGAGCUGGUGAUAAAUAAUAUUCACUACCAGCCUUUACUUUUAUGCUUGAAUUUUGCUCAGGGAAUCAUCUCAUGGGAGAAUGGUCACUUCCUAAAUCCUUGAAGAGUUUGCUCCAAGUAUUAGCCAUUUAAAGAAACAAAACAAUAAAAAGUAGCUUUCCUGGAAGAGCUUUCUUUCC